RNAcentral lists this ribosomal RNA (301 nucleotides) under uncultured bacterium. RNAcentral describes it as "partial 16S ribosomal RNA". It matches the Rfam family "Bacterial small subunit ribosomal RNA", at positions 509 to 807 of the family's 1533-position model. The record is from RNAcentral.
CAGCAGCCGCGGUAAUACGUAGGGUGCGUGCGUUAAUCGGAAUUACUGGGCGUAAAGCGUGCGCAGGCGGUUUUGUAAGACAGGCGUGAAAUCCCCGGGCUCAACCUGGGAAUGGCGCUUGUGACUGCAAAGCUAGAGUGCGGCAGAGGGGGAUGGAAUUCUGCGUGUAGCAGUGAAAUGCGUAGAUAUGCGGAGGAACACCGAUGGCGAAGGCAAUCCCCUGGGCCUGCACUGACGCCCAUGCACGAAAGCGUGGGGAGCAAACAGGAUUAGAUACCCCCGUAGUCCCUGUCUCUUAUAC